Molecule: ribosomal RNA, 250 nt
Filed under: uncultured bacterium
Lineage: Bacteria
Description: partial 16S ribosomal RNA
Rfam family: Bacterial small subunit ribosomal RNA
Source: RNAcentral
GACGAACCGUGCGAACGUUGUUCGGAAUCACUGGGCUUAAAGGGCGCGUAGGCGGGCGAUCAAGUCAGGGGUGAAAUCCUCCAGCUUAACUGGAGAAUAGCUUUUGAUACUGGUCGUCUCGAGGGGGGUAGGGGCAUGUGGAACUUCCGGUGGAGCGGUGAAAUGCGUAGAUAUCGGAAGGAACGCCGGUGGCGAAAGCGAUGUGCUGGACCCUUUCUGACGCUGAGGCGCGAAAGCCAGGGGAGCAAAC